Molecule: ribosomal RNA, 465 nt
Filed under: Vreelandella stevensii
Lineage: Bacteria; Pseudomonadati; Pseudomonadota; Gammaproteobacteria; Oceanospirillales; Halomonadaceae
Description: partial 16S ribosomal RNA
Rfam family: Bacterial small subunit ribosomal RNA
Source: RNAcentral
CCUACGGGGGGCAGCAGUGGGGAAUAUUGGACAAUGGGCGAAAGCCUGAUCCAGCCAUGCCGCGUGUGUGAAGAAGGCCUUCGGGUUGUAAAGCACUUUCAGUGGGGAAGAAAGCCUUGGGGCUAAUACCCUCGAGGAAGGACAUCACCCACAGAAGAAGCACCGGCUAACUCCGUGCCAGCAGCCGCGGUAAUACGGAGGGUGCGAGCGUUAAUCGGAAUUACUGGGCGUAAAGCGCGCGUAGGCGGUCUGAUAAGCCGGUUGUGAAAGCCCCGGGCUCAACCUGGGAACGGCAUCCGGAACUGUCAGGCUAGAGUGCAGGAGAGGAAGGUAGAAUUCCCGGUGUAGCGGUGAAAUGCGUAGAGAUCGGGAGGAAUACCAGUGGCGAAGGCGGCCUUCUGGACUGACACUGACGCUGAGGUGCGAAAGCGCGGGUAGCAAACAGGAUUAGAUACCCCGGUAGUC